UAGAGUUUGAUCAUGGCUCAGAUUGAACGCUGGCGGCAUGCCUUACACAUGCAAGCCGAACGCGAAAGUAGGGGCAACCCUGCGAGUAGAGUGGCGAACGGGUGAGUAACACAUCGGAACGUACCCAGGAGUGGGGGACAACCUCGAGAAAUCGAGGCUAAUACCGCAUACGUCCUGAGGGAGAAAGCGGGGGAUUCGCAAGGACCUCGCGCUCAUGGAGCGGCCGAUGUCGGAUUAGCUAGUUGGCGGGGUAAAGGCCCACCAAGGCUACGAUCCGUAGCUGGUUUGAGAGAACGACCAGCCACACUGGGACUGAGACACGGCCCAGACUCCUACGGGAGGCAGCAGUGGGGAAUUUUGGACAAUGGGGGCAACCCUGAUCCAGCCAUGCCGCGUGAGUGAAGAAGGCCUUCGGGUUGUAAAGCUCUUUCGGCCGGAACGAAAUCGCGUACGUGAAUAAC
RNAcentral lists this ribosomal RNA (461 nucleotides) under uncultured beta proteobacterium. RNAcentral's name for it is "bacterial SSU rRNA". It matches the Rfam family "Bacterial small subunit ribosomal RNA", at positions 1 to 465 of the family's 1533-position model. The record is from RNAcentral. Lineage: Bacteria; Pseudomonadati; Pseudomonadota; Betaproteobacteria.